GAUGAACGCUGGCGGCGUGCCUAAUACAUGCAAGUCGAGCGAACGGACGAGAAGCUUGCUUCUCUGAUGUUAGCGGCGGACGGGUGAGUAACACGUGGAUAACCUACCUAUAAGACUGGGAUAACUUCGGGAAACCGGAGCUAAUACCGGAUGAUAUUUUGAACCGCAUGGUUCAAAAGUGAAAGACGGUCUUGCUGUCACUUAUAGAUGGAUCCGCGCUGCAUCAGCUAGUUGGUAAGGUAACGGCUUACCAAGGCAACGAUGCAUAGCCGACCUGAGAGGGUGAUCGGCCACACUGGAACUGAGACACGGUCCAGACUCCUACGGGAGGCAGCAGUAGGGAAUCUUCCGCAAUGGGCGAAAGCCUGACGGAGCAACGCCGCGUGAGUGAUGAAGGUCUUCGGAUCGUAAAACUCUGUUAUUAGGGAAGAACAUAUGCGUAAGUAACUGUGCACAUCUUGACGGUACCUAAUCAGAAAGCCACGGCUAACUACGUG
RNAcentral lists this ribosomal RNA (497 nucleotides) under uncultured bacterium. RNAcentral describes it as "partial 16S ribosomal RNA". It matches the Rfam family "Bacterial small subunit ribosomal RNA", at positions 28 to 507 of the family's 1533-position model. The record is from RNAcentral.